UGAGGAAUAUUGGGCAAUGCCCGCAAGGGUGACCCAGCAACGCCGCGUGGAGGAUGAAUGUCGUAAGAUUGUAAACUCCUGUUAGAGGGGAAGAAUAGUACCGGUUGGACCGGUAUAUGACUGUACCCUCAGAGAAAGCCCCGGCUAACUACGUGCCAGCAGCCGCGGUAAUACGUAGGGGGCAAGCGUUGUCCGGAUUUACUGGGUGUAAAGGGCGCGCAGGCGGGAUAAAAAGUCAGUGGUGAAAUCCUACAGCUUAACUGUAGAACUGCCUUUGAUACGUUUAUUCUUGAGCUCGGGAGAGAGAGACGGAAUUCCAGGUGUAGUGGUGAAAUACGUAGAUAUCUGGAAGAACACCAGUUGCGAAGGCGGUCUCUUGGUCCGACACUGACGCUGAGGCGCGAAAGCGUGGGGAGCAAACA
Molecule: ribosomal RNA, 422 nt
Filed under: uncultured bacterium
Lineage: Bacteria
Description: bacterial SSU rRNA
Rfam family: Bacterial small subunit ribosomal RNA
Source: RNAcentral